UACGUAGGGUGCGAGCGUUGUCCGGAAUUACUGGGCGUAAAGAGCUCGUAGGUGGUUUGUCGCGUUGUUCGUGAAAACCGGGGGCUUAACCCUCGGCGUGCGGGCGAUACGGGCAGACUUGAGUACUGCAGGGGAGACUGGAAUUCCUGGUGUAGCGGUGGAAUGCGCAGAUAUCAGGAGGAACACCGGUGGCGAAGGCGGCUUUCUGGACAAAUACCGACGCUGAGGCACGAAAGCUAGGGGAGCAAACAGG
RNAcentral lists this ribosomal RNA (253 nucleotides) under uncultured bacterium. RNAcentral describes it as "partial 16S ribosomal RNA". It matches the Rfam family "Bacterial small subunit ribosomal RNA", at positions 524 to 776 of the family's 1533-position model. The record is from RNAcentral.